UGCAUGGCUGUCGUCAGCUCGUGUCGUGAGAUGUUGGGUUAAGUCCCGCAACGAGCGCAACCCUUGCCUUUAGUUGCCAGCAGUUCGGCUGGGCACUCUAAAGGGACUGCCGGUGUUAAACCGGAGGAAGUGGGGAUGACGUCAAGUCCUCAUGGCCUUUAUGACCAGGGCUACACACGUACUACAAUGGCCGAUACAAAGGGCAGCGACACUGCGAGGUGAAGCCAAUCCCGUAAAAUCGGUCUCAGUCCGGAUUGGAGCCUGCAACUCGACUCCAUGAAGUUGGAAUCGCUAGUAAUCGUGGAUCAGCAUGCCACGGUGAAUACGUUCCCGGGCCUU
Molecule: ribosomal RNA, 339 nt
Filed under: uncultured Desulfobulbus sp.
Lineage: Bacteria; Pseudomonadati; Thermodesulfobacteriota; Desulfobulbia; Desulfobulbales; Desulfobulbaceae
Description: bacterial SSU rRNA
Rfam family: Bacterial small subunit ribosomal RNA
Source: RNAcentral